Molecule: transfer RNA, 57 nt
Filed under: Bos taurus (domestic cattle)
Lineage: Eukaryota; Metazoa; Chordata; Mammalia; Artiodactyla; Bovidae
Also listed under: 5 other names
Rfam family: tRNA
About the family: Transfer RNA (tRNA) molecules are approximately 80 nucleotides in length. Their secondary structure includes four short double-helical elements and three loops (D, anti-codon, and T loops).
Source: Rfam by way of RNAcentral
UGGCUCAGAGGUUAAAGCGUCUGCCUGGAAUGCGGGAGACCCGGGUUCAAUCCCUGG